GAGAACGAAACAGACUUCACUCCCAAAAAACUUAAGACGGGUUCCUGUGGGAGGAUCUGCGCACUAUUCAUCUUUAAUGUAUCUCAACUUGUGCUCUGAGGCUCCGAGGAGCAGCGAUGGAGAACAGACAGAAGGAAAGAAGAAUUGAAAAAGGAAAAAGAGAAUAAGGAAGGAGAAAAGAAAAGGACGAGGGGGCAGCUUACUGGGGAAUAGGACUAUACUGUGAAUGAUUGAUGAGCAGACAGGGCUGUUGGGCGCGUUCGCCGAGCAAUAAAAAUGGACUAAUCCAUCCUUUUCACUCCCUGAGGAUCACAGCGCCAUAGCCAUCACUGAGCUGGAGGAAUCUUUUGGAACUUUCCAGUCCGUUCACUGACCAGUUUUCAAGAAGCAAAACAGUGGAGGAGUUGGUGCCAAAUGGUAUCCACCCACUGGAGUCUCUCCAUCACUUCCACUUUUUCAAUCUUGUUUUUUUUUUCUCUUCCGUUCCCUUUCCCUCUCCUGUCUGUUUGCCGAUCUGUCUCUUUGUCUUCCUGUACCUGUCCAUCUGACUGGGGUUUAGUUAAUUUGCCUGGAUCAAUCUGUUCUCCCCCCCCAAAAUGUCCACACUCAUCUCCUGUGUCAUUUCCCCCUUGACCACCUACUCUCACCAGUGUAAUUUUCCCUCCAAACUCACCUCCAUCCAUGCAGCAUCCUGAUUACCCGUCUCUCCCUCUGCUUACUAGUUCUCCCAUCAGCUGCUGGUGAGUUUGAUUUUUCUUUGCUAAACACAGAGUGACCCCUAUUGGUGGUGGAGGUACUUGCAGGCAGUAAUGGCACAUCUUUCUCUUCUCUAGGGGACAUCAAGCGUGAAAUCAGCCUGGCAUUGGCUACACUGUGACAGACCCUCUGUCUCGGGGCCAUAUUUGCCCCCUGCUCUCCUCCCUCUCGCUCGGGAAGUAGCACCAGUCAGCAGGUGGGGUUAGUCUCUGUGCUUUUUAUGCCUCCACAGUGUUUCCUCCUUUUCUUUUAUAGCUGCUAGACAGCUGACCGGGUCAUUAAAAGACUCUGAACUUCUAACUUGCAAUCAGUGACCCCUGGAGUAAAAAUCUUUUGGUCUCAGACACAAGAGAUAUUGUGUGUCAAAAAAAAAGUGCAGAAAGUAGAAUGUGGGUACCUCAGAUUCUUGUCUUGAGUUUAUUUUAUUGUUCUACAAUAUGAAAAUACUCUUAAAAAUAUUAAAAUCCUACAUUAAAUCUUCAUUAAAUCAUUAAAAUAAGUUAAAUUCGGCUUCAGUAUAUUGGAAAUUAAUGGAUUAUUUUCAGUUACCACUGAUGUUACUAAUUGUAAACUUGGCUUUAUAAACCUCUGAGUUAUUAAUCUGCAAAACACAUCCCUGUUUGUAAAUUUCUCUCAGUAUGAAAAGUAGCCUGUCAGUACAAUGUUUAUAUAAAUGUCCCAGGGCAAAGGGAGUUAGGGCCUGUGUCCACUGGCAACAUUUGGCGCUGGCAAGACCCACAACCUCAAUCUUAUUAUCCAUUUGCUAGAGAUCAUUAAGUCUGUUUAAAAAUGCUUUGUAUGCAUCAGAUUUUAUUCUGAAAAAGCUGAAGUUCAUUGCUUUGUACUGAAAAUAGAUGCCACCAGUAAAAAGAAAACGCUGUCAGUGGGCACAGGCCCUCAUACUUAGCACUGUAGUCUAUAAAUAUAGAGUAAAGUAGUUUGUAAUGUAGCCUAAACAUGGAGCUGGGGGUAGCCUGCAAAUAGAAAUUCCCCAAACUAACUUAACUCAGCUAGCAUUCAGUCUAAUUCUGACAAAUAUUCAUAAUGACUGUGUUAUGUGUAUCUACAGCUUGCUAUUUUACUCUUAAUGCUGCAGAAUUGCUUUGCUUUUUCAUAAUCAAGCUAUAUUAUGUAGCUUGGAGUGGAGCCUCUAGAGUCUCAAGGAGCGGUACACUUGAUUUUGUCCCUUUUUAAUAAGCUGGGUUCUCUGUUUUCAGUGAUAACCUGCUGAUUUUGUUGAAUAUUUACCCUACAGACAUAAGACCUAUACUGAGAAUUCAAUUCCUGAUAAUAAUGUUAAUUUCCAAGAAGAGGCACUAGAAACACUGCUUGUGAUAAUAAUAAUACAUUUUAUUUAAAAGCGCCUUUCUGGACACCCAAGGACACUGUACAGGCAUUAAGAACACAGUUAAAACACAUAAAAUAAAAUAAAUAAAAACAACAUACAGGUAUUGAGAUGGACAAUUAAAGGGAAUAUGCGAUUUGGAACAUAUGUGUUUUGAGUUUUGAUUUGAUAACUUGUGUAAGAAAAUGUGUUAUUUAGUUUUGUCUUAAUCUGCAACAUUUGGUCUUCCUUCACUAUUUUUGCUCGUGCUACAAAGUGAUACACAGAUAGGACCUAAAUUAGACUGUAUAUCAUGCUACUAUGUUCAGCGCUUUCACAAAAACACUGCUCACAGUGGUAAUGCCAUGCGAGUCUGUGUUCUCCACCGUACACUGCACAUCAAUUCACAGUAUAAAUGUGACAAUCUGUUUGCGCCUCACAAAUGCUGUAGAAACAACCGAGUGACUCAUCAGCUCUGUAACACAGACUUCCUGAGACAUAAAGUUGAUCUCACUGUAUUUAUCUGCUGUUGCUCUUGGGAGUCAAAACAGAGGGAAGUGAAUCAUCUUAAAUUUGCUAAAAUGCUUAAGUUAUGACACAGCCGGCAGAGACUCGCCUUUGAAAUGUGGAGAGUGGUGUGCCGGGCUGUCUGCGGUAAGUGAAGUGUAAUUACGUUUUCAGUGUAGAAAAAUGUCCUGAGUUCGACUUCACGUUUAAUUUUCUCCGCAGUGAAAAGAGCGAGUGAGACGUAUGCAGAUAGGAACGUCAAUAUGAACUCUGCUUUCUCUUUGCUUUCAUCAUUCACUAAAGGCAUCGUGACAUUGCCGAUUUUGUUGAGAGGAUUCAGUACAAGGGAGUUUGCUUCAAACAGUGAAAAGAGGAGCGGGAAAACACCUGGUUUUGUCUGACGGAUCAUAUACAAGAGUCAGUAUCACACAGGGAGACAGAGACACGCAGUAUUUAACCUAUUAAAAUUCACUAAAUCAAUCAGUUUUAGGAGGAGAGGUUACAACCACACCAAAAAGUAGGCUUUUAUCACCGUCUCUUCUUUCACAUUAAGAGUUUUGAAGCCCAAAAUUCGCAAGUUUCUGUCCGUCUGACAACAUAACAAAUUUUUGUGUAACUCCCAGCCUCGAUAAAGCUGGGCAGGUUUUGCUCUUUUGUCUGUGUAGGAAUAAAUUCAAUUCAAUUUCAAUUUUUAUUCAUAUAGCACCAAAUCAUAACAGUCGUUGUCCCAAGAUGAUUUCUAAAAAAACAAGUCUAGACCUAACCCAUUGUUCGAUAUAUUACAAAAGACCCAACCUCGAGAUGGAAAAAGAUUUAACCCAUCUCAAACCAACAUGAGUGAAGCACUUUGCAGAAUUCAGCAGGUUAUAAUGAAAGGAAAAAAAUUCCAUUUAACAGGCAGAAACCUUGAAUGUGGUUGUAAUAUUUCAGUUUUCACAAUUUCUUUUUUAUCUAGAAAAAAAGGAGAAUGACGUGAUCAAGUAUGUUUGUCUUAUAUUGAUUCUUCAUGUGAGUAUCCCCAAAGUUGCCCCACUUCUAUAUGUUAUUUUUCUUCUGUUUUGUUUUGUAUUUUCCUCACAUGGUGCUUUUGUGUGUCUUAGUUGUUUCAUGUUUUAUUUUGUAUAUCAUAAUCACUCACUUGGUUUUUGUUUUCCUUAAUCCAAUGCAGAAGUAUGUAAUGUUCAUGAUCGUGUCAGCCACCAAGGUGAUGCUACAGCGUAGGUCCAACCUGGCUUUAGCUUUUCAUGUCAGUGUAUUUUGUGUUUAGACAUUAUAACCUUUUUUUUUUAUCAUUAAAGCAUCCCACUGCGCAACGCGACAUAGAAAUGACAUCUAUUUAACGUAUUUUUUCGACGAUGGGGUACAAAUUUGGACAUCUCAGUGUCUAAAAGAGGUCCAAUAACGACAUCUUAAUCUUGGAUCCAGAUCAGAUGACGUCCAAAUUCUAAACGUCAGAGCAAUGUCUAAAAAAGGUCCAAUUUGGAUGUCAAAAUUUCUAACCUUUUUUGCACGUUGCAUUGACAUCUAGAUGUGGUCCUUGUUGAUCUGCAUGUCCCUUCAACAUCCGAUGUUUGGUUGGAUGUAAGCCUGCAUUUUUGUUCCUCACCUGUUCUUUUAGAUGAGGGUGGCCAACCCUAGGUGAGCUCUGGGCACCCCAUGGUAACACCCCUGCGCAUAUAUAGUGUACGUAUCAUUAUUGUUAAUUUUGGUUUCAUGUCAUUUUAUCAUUAUUUAGCACCCUACUAAAUAAAUAAAUUUGGCUCAGUAUUUCUUUUUACAAGCUUUUUUUGUUUGCAGGAUUGCCAAUUAUCUCAAAUUAAGACAAUUUAUGAAACUGCUGACAACCUCUGAAGUGAAAAUGAUGACUCAGACAUUUUUAACACCUGAUGCCUCAGCAGCCAAUCGCGCUCAGCUCAGACAGAAUAUUUGGUCACCAGAAGCGUCCGGCCCCCCUCUUGCGCUCUCAAUUACCUCCCAUGAUUCAUUUCAGAUUUCAUUUGAUGAGACUGACCCUCUGCCCCUGCCACACAGAAGACUGAGUCAUAAACGUCAGCCAUGAGAUUCUGAUUUAGGGAGAAAUGAACGAUUAAAAGUUAAUUGUUGAAAUGUGUCAAGGUGGCUUGUUUAAUUAUGGCAAACGAGGCAUUUCAUUUUCAGCUCGGCUUUAAAAUAGCUCGGCUGGAGGGGGGAAAGCCAACACUGCCAGGCUAGACUGCGUGGAUGGAGUGCUGCUUUAUUUACUUUGCAGAAGAAGUCACUGCGAUGACCCCUGGGGAAGAUAAUUAAGGUGGAAUCAACAUUUCAAACCAUACGUGAUGAGCGUAUCAAGACAAUUAUGCUCUCCAGAAAAGGGACGGGGGGCUUGCAGCGGGAGGAAAAUGCUGAUAACCAGUGUUACGCGGGUUUAAAUUGUGAGGUAUAACAGACAGUUUUGAGUACUCAGAUGCAGCUUAUCCCCAGGCUGCUGCUUACACGGGAUAAUUAGGUCCAAAGUAGGAGCUGGAGGGGGUGGCUGGUGGAGUGGGAGUGCACAGAUUCAAUCAGCUUGUAUUUUUUUCUCCAUAUUGUUAAGCACUUGAGCUAUUUCCCACUUAGUUAGUUCCCCCACAGUCACAGGGGAACUAACAGAAUGCUCUACCCAUCUCUUCUAGAUUUGUCGGGCACAUAUUUAUUGCCAUUGAUUUAUGUGUCAGGUCAGAGUCCUCCAUUGGCAGUAAUGUAUUCCAUCAUUUCCACUGUAUUCGAGCAGCGGAGAAGCCGUGAAAUGCUUUCCUGCCUCCCGCAAAGUUUGAACUGGGUCAUGGUUAAAGACCCCGCAGGCCAUUUCUCUUUGCAUAAGUGCUGCUUUCAUGGCAUGCCAGUUACACAGCAGAUACUCCAGUACGCUUCAUUUUCAUAUAAACUGGAGCCCCUUUUCCCCCCUUGUGGAUAGCAGAGCAAAUUCCAUUGUUAGAGUAUGACAGACAGCACCAUCACCAGAGAGAUACUAAACUCUGUAAAUAUUACCCGUUGUAGGCUUGUUGUAUCAUUUUUCAUACACCACACUGAAAUAUAUAUAUAUAUCUCAUGUUUAAAAUAUUAAGCCUACUUAUUAUUUUAAGCAUUUUUUAUCGACUGAAUUUGACAACAAUCAGUUUUUGUUUUGUAAAAAGUAGAAAAAUAUCAGUCACAAACCUCUUAUACAUACAGUCGUGCUGUAACACAGAUACUCUGUCAGUGUAACUUUGUAUUGAACUGUGUGAUUUCAUGUUAUGUUAUAGUGUUGUGUAAGCACUAGAGAUACAUGGCUGAAACUCCACAUACACACACGCUCAGAUGCAUACACAGAGCACUGAUCUGACUCUUUGCAACUAUCAGAGAUGAAACAACUUUUCCCCAAAAUAUGCUCCAUGGGUUAUAUAUUACAGGUGUGGUUUAUUAUAAUUGAUAUGUCUGGUGAAAUAGUACUGUGUAAAUUAGAAACCCAGAAGUGUUGAUUCAAGAGGAGACAAAAAAACAGUUUCUUUGAAUCCACAGUUGAUAGUGCUACAACAACUUUCAGAGUUGUUGCUAACGUCUCUACUGACUGUGGUUAGGUUUUUUCGUGGUGAUAUGCACCACGAUAUAGGCUGUAUCAGGUGUCAAUCAUAGAAAACAAGAACCCCCUAAUAACUUUAAAAAAUGGUGCUGCACAGAAAAAAGGGGACUUGAGGACAAACCAGUCUUACUAUAACUACAUGUUAACAUCGCAAGCAGGGGGGAGAAAAAUGUAUAUUCUGUGUAACAAGUUUCUUAAGUUUGUCCACAGCUCCAUAAGCUUUGCUGGCGGAGGCGGGAUUUAUGACCUAUACUGCAGCCCGUCACCAGAGGGUGCUGUUCUCGGAGCGGCUUCACCCAUCAAGGAGGCAGACGCUGUCCUUUCUAUAUAAAGUCUAGGGCGCUGACAAUAUGUAAAGUUGCCGGCAACAACUUCAAAUUUCUCUACCAGAAUUUCAGUCCCUGCUUGUCUCUAUUUAUAACGCUAUAAAACAGUGAAAGAGCAUUAAAAAGAAGAUAGAAGAGUAGUCGUAACCUGAUAAUUUCUGGCACAUCCCUUAUCUUUUACUGCUUUCCAUUAUCUAUACUGCUUAUCCCAUUUAGAGUCACGGGGGGCUGGAGCCUAGCUGUCACAGGGUGAGGGCAGGGUUAGAAAUGUCCCCCUAAGUAUAAUCAUGUUGAAAAAUAACUCAAAAUAUUAGUUAAAAGUGAAUUUUUUAUAUUUUCAACUAGACAAAUAGUUCAUAAUUAUUAUUACAGUCAUCAUUGUUGCAGCUUAUCUUGUGCUGAAGUUCUUGGUACCGUUGUGUGCAGGCUGCAAUUCUUGACAGAGACAUGAUUUUCGUCCUUUAAACAGAUAAUAUGAGGAAGUUUUGUAUUUGGAACUGGUUAGUUUGAAUUAUUAGUGAAUCAGACUUCAAGUAUGUUGGAUAUACGUUGUCUUCUUCCCAUUAUGAGGAAUUUCUAACUUAAUUUAUUCCAAUAAAUAACACUCAAACCCACUUCUCUGGUCCUCAGCGCUUGAAGCCUCAUGGUACUCACAGACAUACAGUAAGUAGUCCCAGAAAUAGAACUACCAUAAAGUCCUCUUCUGCAUGUUUUACCAGCAUUUAAACAUGCUCACACCCACACAUAUACACAUUCAAAAUAAUUGCCAAACAAAAUUAUUGAGGCCACGAGGAAAUUCAUAUUAUUUUAUGCGUGCUGUAGUCAUUUCACGCCUGAUGGACUCUCACCUUUAACCGCGAGUGAGCGUGUCUUUGGGUGCAGUUUGAGGCGAAGGGUAUUCUAAUAAAAGAAUAAUGGAAGCAUUCUCCCUUUUUAAUUGGACAUUGUUAGAAUGACAUAUCAAUCCUGCUGCAGAGAUGCCCUUUCCAUGUAUGCUGUAAUUGAACUGUUCCCUAUUUUCCCUCCUCACAGAAACAGAGCCUGCUAUUGUCAUGUGGAUGGGGGCCUCCUGCACAGCACGGGUGUUCAUUGUUGACUCUGCUUUCCCGGGCAUCAUAUCAAUUUGUUUGAUAUGAGUUUUCUCACUAAUAUCUUGAUUCUCAUGUGAUUUACUCCCUCUGUCUUCUGGAUCAUUUAUGCUCCCUGCAUAUAAACAGGCUAAUGUGCCAUUCUCUCUGUACUCUCAUUGAUAUUAGCAAUACUAUUACCAUUAGUGAUUCAUCCGCCUUCAUCGUCUCUGUUUUCUGCAAUUUUACAUUCCGAAAGCUUUGAUUUCCAUUAGCAUUUUUGCAAUUAUCCGGAAAUUCUAUUAAAGUUCUUGGCAAUAAAAUGACAAGAAAUGAUCACCCUAUUAAGCCCCGGAGCUAAAAACAACAUAAUGUGCACAGUAUUGUAUGGUAAUAUUUUUCAUUAGAAGACAAAAAAACAAAGAAUUACUACCUGUGUUUAACCACUCAGAAUUCCAUCUCAGGUAUUCAUGGCAUGAGGCUGACAAGCGAACUGAAGCCGAGCAAAUAAAACCUGGCAGCAGCUGGAUGAAUGGCUGCAUGUUUGGGUCAUGAUAAGAAAGAAUUACAUUUUUACACAUCACUGAGGAGAGCAAAACAAAGCCCGGUGUGAGGUUAAAAGCUCUUCAAAACUGCUGGAAAACCAAGCGGGGGAGGGAGGGAAAUAAAAAUGAAGCAUCAUUUUCUCUUAGCGGUUUAAGCUUUUUCCUCAGUGGCAGAUGUAAGUGAUUUACAGCUCAUCAAAAUCGCACAGUAUCACCCCCAGUGCACACAAUAUCACCCCCAAUGCACACAUAUAGUCAAACAUAUGAUACUAGCCCGCAGAGUGGGAACGGUGCUGUGUCGUUCUUUAGGGACCUUUUUAAUGGAGCUGCUAGAGAGUCAGUUGUCACAUUUAGAGAACUUAAUUUAUUGUACUCCCUCGUUCAUAGUAUAACUCCCUGAUUCUCACUGCCAUCUUAUUCAACAGUUUAAUAUCAUUUAUAGAUUUACAACCAUCAAUUUACACAGACAGUCUCACAAAUGUUCCCUAAAGUUAAUCUGUACUUUACACAUUUUUAAUUUCUGUAUCUUUAAAGAAAAUUACACAGCAGCAAAGAAGGUUGUAUGUUAAAAUACAGAAGGUUAUAUUGAUUUAAAUGUUAAUUUUGCUCGUAUAGCACCGGUGCUUCAUGAAACAGACCUUCCUAAAGUGGACAGUACCUGAUUUUGCUCUUAAAUUUCUGUUAAGUCAAAAUCAAAAACAGGGAUUAAUUCUUUGUAUUUUGUAUUACUCCCAUAGGGUGCAAAAGACAAAGUAACAAGGACAUAGACAGGUUAUAAAUAUAAAAUGAUUAGGGAACGGUCAAACAGAUACAAAUUGUCAUAAAUAGAACACAGACUAAUCAUCAACCAGCGAUAGAGACGAUAAAAGUAUACGUAAAAAGGAAAGAAACAUGAUCAUAACAAAUAAUGAUGUAUUUAAGAUAUGAUUAGAUUAGAUUUUAAUGAUAUUUUAAAAGAUUUAAAGGAUGAUAUAUCCAUGCAUCCAGAUUAUUCCACAGUUCUGUCCUCUAAAAGUGAUAUUUGACUGAUGACAAGAAGUUCAACAGAAAGGUAACUGAAGAUGUCCAUUUUGUCUUGUUGAGUACCGGUGAGGGUCGGAUGAAAAGGUAAAAAAGUUUGGGAAAGUUUCAGGGAGGUCUUCUUUCUUAUUAAUAAACUUAUGGACAAACAAACAAGAGUGAAAGACAUUGAGUUUGUCAAUCGGUAAGAUAGAGUAUUUGGAAAAGAGGGGUGCAGAGAGUUUGUGUCUGCUGGAUCGUGAUAUCAUUUAUAAGAAUCUUAACAUAAAAGCAAAACCAGGGAUAUCCAAUCAAUAAGCAGUAAGAAGACCAGGCACAAUUCACCCCUUCCUGUUGACUAUGUGGCAAAAAUGUCCAUGUCAGAGUCCUUUUCCCUCUAUCUGUUGAUUUAUUCAGAUUUGCACAACCAGCUUAUAUUUGUAAAUUAUCUCUUAUUAAAAAGUGAGCGGUGCUCUGUGAGGAGAAUUCCUCUCAGCCUAAAAUAUCAUUAAUAUUUAUGUCCUUUGUACUUUCUCCCCUGUUUGCUGAAAAGCACAGUCGUAUUUUUUUCUUUGUUGGUAGAUAACAGUAAGUGUCACAAAUGGAGGACCCAAAAUUCAGACUCAAAAACAAUUUAAUGAACAAAAAAAAGGAUAAAACAAACUUUCCAAAAAAUUCAAUCUGAAAAAGUACAAAACCAAAAACACCAGACCACUGAGAAGCAACAGGAGGAAAUACACAGACAAGACUAACACAAGACAUGAAACCCAAGAGGAACUACAAAAUAAAACAAAAUCAAGGCAUGAUUACAACACUGAGAAAUACUGGACUGAACAAUUAUCCUUCAUGGCAGUAAGAUUUGUUCUGUGUUACAUUGUGUCCUCUAAAAUAAAACCAAGCCAGAGGAUGAAUUGGCAAUAAAAUUGAAAAUAUAAUUAUGAAAAACAAGUCUAAUCCAGCUAUUGUGAAAAGUAGCCUAAUUUAUAAUGAAGCAUGUUGCUGAUAUGUUGAUUAAUUUGCACUGUCACUAUCCAAUAACUCACAUUAGUAACAGUAUGGAUAUUGCAAAAAAAUAAGUAAAACUAAGAUGAAAGGAUGAGCUAAAAAUAAUUCGAUAAAACUUUUUUUUAACAUCCAAAAUAUUUAGUCAGAUAAGGUCCAUGUAUUAUCUGUCCGUUUGAUUAUUCCAUUCAAUCUAGAAAACGAAAAAACAAGUCAAUAUUUUGUUUAUUUGUUUUCUGUAUUAGUGUUUAUUUUCGUAUUUUCAGCUCAAAACAGAUUAUAUGAUAGAGAUGAAAACAAAAUCAUAAAUCUUAUUUACAAUUAUUGAUUUUGAGUGCGCCUGUUUUCAGUAAACGUGCAUGGAGGCUACCAUGGUCUUCCCAUGAUCCUCAGGGACAAUUACCAUGGCGAAAGAUGCGUCAGAGCGGUUCGAUCGCCAAAAUCUUACAUUGUAGCAGAGCUCUGGUUGUAAUUUUUUCUACAGUCAUAUCUUCCUCCUUCAGCGUGACCCUCCUGGCGGCUUUGAAUAAUACGUAGGAUGCGUCCAUCUCAAUGACAACAGGUUAGCCUUUCUCUACCGCUCUGGCCGCGAGUUUUUGGUCCAUGUUGUUGGCUACUUUGUUGCACAAUGCACAUGUGCGAACAGUCGAAAGUCACCAUGGGAAAUGGGGACAUCAAUAACCCGAAAACAAAAAAGUAAAUAAAACAGAAAAACAAAUAAACAAAAUAUUGACUCGUUUUUUCGUUCACUAGCUUGAAUCGAAUAAUUGAGUGGAUGGAUAAUACGCGUACCAGAUAAAGUUGUUGAAUGUCAGAAUUCUCUUUUUGUCCAUAAAUUAAAUGUCUCUUCAUCUUUUAUUUGAAAGCUUAUCUUAAAUAAUCAAAAAUUAAGAAAUUUCUCUUAAAGACCUCCAGUUAAUCCUAAAGAAAACAGUCAACAGUUACCCUGUCUUUUAGUGAAAGGUCAAAUGCUUAAAACAAAGCGAGCACACAGAUUCAGUUUGUUCAGAGCAGAUCAAACAGGGGCACAAAGCCCACUGAAGAUUUUUUGGGCCAGCUGGCAAGCUGGAUCCCAAGAGCCCACUCCCACUGGGUGUGAAUCAGAAAUCUAACAGCUAAUGGCAACAGUUGCCCCAUGGUAGCACUUCUGACAGCAAACUAAUGUCCACACACACAUAGAGGAGCACAAGAGCUGUCAACACCCCACUAUGACCCUGUGGGUAUAAACUGACAAAAAAGAGGAAAGGAAGAAAAAUCAACCACCAGUUCAGCUUGAUGGCUGUUAUUUAUUUUUCCUAAACCUCUUAAGCACACUUGAGCCUUUUAACACUCAGGAUAGAUUUUUCUCUUCAGUGUUUGUCCUACUAUAAUUAAAAUGCUGAGUCACAUUUAAGAGUGAGAGAGGCGGCAUAUUGAACCAGUCUGUGAAGUAGUCUAUCAAUCCAGACGACAUAAUCAAACCUUUAUUAUUGGGUCUCACAGAGAUUAUCCACUUUAGAUGGCUGAUAAAUCAAGAGUCAUGUAGUUCCCAUGUUCAAGAUGAUAAGCGACCACUCAUGACACUCAUAUAUGGACGCCGAUGUGCUUUUCAUAUGUACCUUCACCUUCUGUUUCACUGCUACUCUUCCAUUUUUCAGUGAUUGGAAAUACCGGACAGGAUUUGACCCUCAAAUCAAAGUAUGAACCUUCUCUAGAAAUAAUGAAUUUUCCAUUGAGAGAUCCAGUCAUGUUGCUAAAUCACUUUUUAGGCCACAGAGACAUUUAUGGCUGUGUUAUUAAAAAUCUAUAGUAUAUGGUAUACAAGAGUGGAAAAGAUGUCUGUUGUGUUCUGCAAUGUGCAGUUUUUAUGCAGAUGUGUAGCUCUUUCUUGUACCAUCUGUUACCACCACCCUUCCAGCUACACAGAGUUAAAGAUGGAAUUAAAACACAACUUCUCCAAAACCUGCAAAGGUGCACAUAAACCAGAAUGAUAAGAAGCAACUGCUUUGACAGAAAGCAUUGAAAAAAUGUUAUUAGACAUGUAGUUUGACCCUUUUCCUUAAUAGAAGAGGCAGGUUUUAAAAAGGAUACCGCAGACAGUCAGCAGGGGGAGCUCUAACCCCCAAUUUCCACUGCUUCUGAAACAGCUAUGAAAAGGCCAUAUCUGCCGAUCACAACUGAUCGUAACCAUUCAAGUUAAUGUGUCAAUUUCCACCGGCUUCUUUCUGUUCCACUGCGGAUCGCUGGAUUCCACAGCUGAUUACAAUAGUUCUAUUUUUUCCAGUAAUCCAGUCCGUAAUCCGCCUCAAAAUUCGCCUCACAAACGGAUCCGGUAGGAAAUGGCGGACGGCAAAAAUCGCCUCCGUUCUGGAUCAGAGCUGUUCCGGAUGCGUUGAAAAUUGGGGGUAAAUGUCAUCAUUGUUGUAUCCACGGUUUCAUCGUCCUUGAAUGUAAACCUAAUUAAACGCACCUUUUAGUUCAAAUAAAACCAACAUCUGUUCUUCUAUUUUAUUGCAUAUCAUGAGAGCAGAUGAAUUAAGGGGUUAUAAUAAUCUGUAGUAGAGUGUUUUUUAAUUAACUACAAAAGCAGCUAAACCUGCAGGCUGUCAUGAUAAGAGCACUGAUGAUAGUGAGUGAAUCAGUGAACAGCUGCACUCUCUAGGAUGAGCGCUAUCUCCAACAUUCAGCACAACAACUAAGUGUGUUAUCUGCUGGUUAACCAACAACAAUUCUAAGGAAAACUAGCGUAUCAAAGUAAUCACACAGUCAAACUAUUUCACAUCAUUAUUAAUCUUGCGAGACUCCUGGCAUUAUUCAGCCCAAACAGGCAUCCAACUGAUAUAGAAACUAGAAAACCACUGUCCGAUGUGGAACCAUCACGAUUUUCAAUUUUAAUGCAGUUUUUUUUUUUUUUUUCCAGCGUUGGUCCACAGUGUAAGCAUUGUGAGACUGAAUCCUCGCAAUAUGAGCGAAACACUUCAGCAGAAACUCCGGGUUCUUUCCAAGAGAUCCCAGCAGAGAGUGCAUUAAUCAUCACAGUCUCCCCUCCAAAGUGAAGACAGGGAGCAACAGCUGUGGGAGAGGAGCCGGGCUUUAAACAGUGCAGGCUGCAGGAGGUUCAGCCAUCACUUCUUGUUGUGGAUUCUGACAUCAAUAGUAAUGAACACCUUGGAGCGUUGCCUGGCUGCCUGAGCAUGAAUUGUAUGAAGCUGGGCAGUGGAAGCACUUCUGUUUGUGUGUCUCUGUGUGUGUGUGUGUGUCCUCCUGACCAUGUUUGUGGGUCUGUGUGUGACCACUUGUACCAUACACAUUGUACCUGUUUGUCCUCUUGGGUCCCUGUGAGUGUGCCUCUUUGCUGAGGCAGUUAUGAGUAAUAUGCAGAAUAACAGGUAGACCUAAAUGACCUGUACUGACAAGAGAAAUUAAUCAGAACAUUGUUGGUGCUCUUGGUCGAGGUCAGGGGCUUCAUGCUGAGGUUACACCUGCAAGAGCUGGACUGAUACACUUAUACACAGCAUUUUUUUUAGUUUUUUUUUUUUAAUGAUCUAUGGCUGACUUGACCC
This is a non-coding RNA of Xyrichtys novacula (pearly razorfish), 13645 nucleotides long. NCBI's taxonomy places the organism in Eukaryota, Metazoa, Chordata, Actinopteri, Labriformes, Labridae. The record is from the annotation of a GenBank genome assembly.